AGCGAACGCUGGCGGCAGGCCUAAUACAUGCAAGUCGAACGGCUCUUCGGAGCAGUGGCGGACGGGUGAGUAACGCGUGGGAAUGUGCCCUUUGGUACGGAACAACACAGGGAAACUUGUGCUAAUACCGUAUGUGCCCUUCGGGGGAAAGAUUUAUCGCCAUUGGAGCAGCCCGCGUUGGAUUAGGUAGUUGGUGAGGUAAAGGCUCACCAAGCCUACGAUCCAUAGCUGGUCUGAGAGGAUGACCAGCCACACUGGGACUGAGACACGGCCCAGACUCCUACGGGAGGCAGCAGUAGGGAAUCUUGCGCAAUGGGCGAAAGCCUGACGCAGCCAUGCCGCGUGUAUGAUGAAGGUCUUAGGAUUGUAAAAUACUUUCACCGGGGAAGAUAAUGACGGUACCCGGAGAAGAAGCCCCGGCUAACUUCGUGCCAGCAGCCGCGGUAAU
This 448-nucleotide ribosomal RNA is filed under the name uncultured bacterium. RNAcentral's name for it is "bacterial SSU rRNA". It matches the Rfam family "Bacterial small subunit ribosomal RNA", at positions 29 to 524 of the family's 1533-position model. The record is from RNAcentral.